CCUUGCACUUAGUCACAUUCCUACUGUCUCCCUGUCCCUCUCUUUCUCCGUUGGUGGUGCUUGGAUCCACAGACUGACGUUUGGAGGACAGGAACUGGAACAGCACACCUUGUACUCAACCAGACAUGUCGGACUCCGAGACCGCCGCUGCUCCCGCAGAGGCCCCAGUUCCCGCUGCUUGUACCAGCAUCAAGGCUGACUUGGACAAAUGUGUGGCUGAGAAGGGAGCGGAGGCAUGCAAAGACCUGAUGGAGGCCUUCGCUGCGUGUGUGAAGAAUGCAGCUGAGGGGACGUCAUGAGCCAGGAGUCACCCUCCAAUCCUUAAUGUCGACUGCACUGAGCCCUCCAAGUUCCCAGCAUUCCCUUCUGCACAUCAGCACUGGACUGAAUGGCAACAGCGAUGACGACGAUGAUGGUGUGACUAACAUUGUGUUGAUUCGGGUUGAGUUUGGGACCUGGCAGCAGUAACCAGAGUUUCCUCUUCUGCCCCCCCCCCCCUCAAACCCUUACUGGUAUCUUCCAUCCCCCCCCUCUUCCUCUAUGGCUGAUACAUGGUGCAUUGACUUGUAGACACUUCCAGAGAGCUGUCAUGUAACUUGAAAUGAAUACUAUCAAUGGAAAUAAAAGUAUUAAAUAAUUGCUAUAAAAUGAAA
Long non-coding RNA from Doryrhamphus excisus (bluestripe pipefish), 653 nucleotides. RefSeq lists it as uncharacterized. Lineage: Eukaryota; Metazoa; Chordata; Actinopteri; Syngnathiformes; Syngnathidae. The record is from RefSeq and is a predicted model, not a curated record.